This 267-nucleotide ribosomal RNA is filed under the name uncultured bacterium. RNAcentral's name for it is "partial 16S ribosomal RNA". It matches the Rfam family "Bacterial small subunit ribosomal RNA", at positions 1234 to 1500 of the family's 1533-position model. The record is from RNAcentral.
CGUAAACAGGAGGGAGGCGAAGGAGCGAUCCGGAGCAAACCCAGAAAUAACGUCCCAGUUCGGAUUGCAGGCUGCAACCCGCCUGCAUGAAGCUGGAAUCGCUAGUAAUCGCGGGUCAGAAUGCCGCGGUGAAUACGUUCCCGGGUCUUGUACACACCGCCCGUCACACCAUGGGAGUCGGAAAUGCCCGAAGUCAGUGACCCAACCGGAAGGAAGGAGCUGCCGAAGGUGGAGCCGGUAACUGGGGUGAAGUCGUAACAAGGUACC